AAGAACCGACUUGCUU
Molecule: small RNA, 16 nt
Filed under: Arabidopsis thaliana (thale cress)
Lineage: Eukaryota; Viridiplantae; Streptophyta; Magnoliopsida; Brassicales; Brassicaceae
Description: ATSL290880
Source: RNAcentral